RNAcentral lists this ribosomal RNA (254 nucleotides) under uncultured bacterium. RNAcentral describes it as "partial 16S ribosomal RNA". It matches the Rfam family "Bacterial small subunit ribosomal RNA", at positions 524 to 776 of the family's 1533-position model. The record is from RNAcentral.
CACGUAGGCACCAAGCGUUAUCCGGAUUUAUUGGGCGUAAAGAGCUCGUAGGCGGUUCGGUAAGUCGGGUGUGAAAACUCUGGGCUCAACCCAGAGAGGCCACCCGAUACUGCUGUGACUAGAGUGCGGUAGGGGAGCGGGGAAUUCCUGGUGUAGCGGUGAAAUGCGCAGAUAUCAGGAGGAACACCGAUGACGAAGGCAGCUCGCUGGGACGGUACUGACGCUGAGACGCGAAAGCGUGGGGAGCAAACAGG